CGGCGGCGUGCUUAACACAUGCAAGUCGAACGGAUCUGUUCCGCUGUAAGAUGAAGUGCUUGCAUCGAUUCUACUUGGGACAGGUUAGUGGCGGACGGGUGAGUAACGCGUGGGUAACCUGCCUGUAUCUGGGGGAUAACAGUUAGAAAUGACUGCUAAUACCGCAUAAGCGCACAGUACCGCAUGGUACAGUGUGAAAAACUCCGGUGGAUACAGAUGGACCCGCGUUGGAUUAGCCGGUUGGUGGGGUAACGGCCUACCAAAGCAACGAUCCAUAGCCGGCCUGAGAGGGCGACCGGCCACAUUGGGACUGAGACACGGCCCAAACUCCUACGGGAGGCAGCAGUGGGGAAUAUUGCACAAUGGGGGAAACCCUGAUGCCAGCGACGCCGCGUGAGCGAAGAAGUAUUUCGGUAUGUAAAGCUCUAUCAGCAGGGAAGAAAAUGACGGUACCUGACUAAGAAGCCCCGGCUAACUACGUGCCAGCAGCUGC
Molecule: ribosomal RNA, 493 nt
Filed under: uncultured bacterium
Lineage: Bacteria
Description: bacterial SSU rRNA
Rfam family: Bacterial small subunit ribosomal RNA
Source: RNAcentral